CGAUAAGCGAAAACAGGAUAACUCCAGUUAACAUGAUUAUUGAGAAACACCAUUAUAACGUUUUCAAAUAUACUGGACUUACCGCAUAUUUGCUUAUUUUAAAUUUCAUUUAACGAUGGGUUUUAAUAGGAAAUACGCUAUUUUUACAUCAAAAAUCAGUGUAAAACCACUAAUUUUAUCUAUAGGAACAAAAAUAUCAUUUUUACGAAAAAUGUUGUUAUCCUAUUUUCGCUUAGCACGGCGGAAUACUAUCACUGUGUACUACUCAAAAAUCCAUUACUUUUUUGAAUAAAUUUCAAUAUAGGUCAGUGUUAUAAACA
RNAcentral lists this small RNA (320 nucleotides) under Acyrthosiphon pisum (pea aphid). Its description in RNAcentral is "ubiquinol-cytochrome c reductase, complex III subunit XI". Lineage: Eukaryota; Metazoa; Arthropoda; Insecta; Hemiptera; Aphididae. The record is from RNAcentral.